GUUUAAGAAAAAUUGACCAAAACACAAAAAAUUAACAGUGUGCAAUGAACCGUGAAAAUGAGGUCAUGGUCAAAAGAAACCUGCGCUACUGACAUAAAGAUCAUAAAAUAUUUCCAUACACCAAAUAUAGUUGACCUAUGGCAUAUAGUAUUAGAUAAAUAGACCAAAACUAAAAAAAACUUAACUUUGACCACUGAACCAUGAAAAUGAGGUCAAGGUCACAUGACAUCUGCCCGCUAGACAUGUACACCUUACAAUCAUUCCAUACAACAAAUAUAGUAGACCUAUUGCAUAUAGUAUGAAAAAAACAGACCAAAACACAAAAUUUAACUAUAAACCACUGAACCAUGAAAAUGAGGUCAAGGUCACAUGACAUCUGCCCGCUAGACAUGUACACCUUACAAUCAUUCCAUACAACAAAUACAGUAGACCUAUUGCAUAUAGUAUGAAAAAAAAACAGACCAAAAAACACAAAAAUUUAACUAUAACCACUGAACCAUGAAAAUGAGGUCAAGGUCAGAUGACACCUGCCAGUUGGACAUGUACACCUUACAGUCCUUCCAUACACCGAAUAUACAAGCCCUAUUGCUUAUAGUAUCUGAGAUACGGACUUGACCACCAAAACUUAACCUUGUUCACUGAUCCAUGAAAUGAGGUCGAGGUCAAGUGAAAACUGUCUGACAGACAUGAGGACCUUGCAAGGUACGCACAUAUCAAAUAUAGUUAUCCUAUUACUUAUAAUAAGAGAGAAUUCAACAUUACAAAAAAUCUGAACUUUUUUUCAAGUG
Molecule: long non-coding RNA, 788 nt
Filed under: Mytilus galloprovincialis (Mediterranean mussel)
Lineage: Eukaryota; Metazoa; Mollusca; Bivalvia; Mytilida; Mytilidae
Source: RNAcentral